UAGAGUUUUGGNNCUGGCUCAGGAUGAACGCUGGCGGCGUGCCUAAUACAUGCAAGUCGAGCGAAUGGAUUAAGAGCUUGCUCUUAUGAAGUUAGCGGCGGACGGGUGAGUAACACGUGGGUAACCUGCCCAUAAGACUGGGAUAACUCCGGGAAACCGGGGCUAAUACCGGAUAACAUUUUGAACCGCAUGGUUCGAAAUUGAAAGGCGGCUUCGGCUGUCACUUAUGGAUGGACCCGCGUCGCAUUAGCUAGUUGGUGAGGUAACGGCUCACCAAGGCAACGAUGCGUAGCCGACCUGAGAGGGUGAUCGGCCACACUGGGACUGAGACACGGCCCAGACUCCUACGGGAGGCAGCAGUAGGGAAUCUUCCGCAAUGGACGAAAGUCUGACGGAGCAACGCCGCGUGAGUGAUGAAGGCUUUCGGGUCGUAAAACUCUGUUGUUAGGGAAGAACAAGUGCUAGUNGAAUAAGCNGGCACCUGAC
This 486-nucleotide ribosomal RNA is filed under the name Bacillus cereus. Its description in RNAcentral is "bacterial SSU rRNA". It matches the Rfam family "Bacterial small subunit ribosomal RNA", at positions 1 to 483 of the family's 1533-position model. Lineage: Bacteria; Bacillati; Bacillota; Bacilli; Caryophanales; Bacillaceae. The record is from RNAcentral.